This 1496-nucleotide ribosomal RNA is filed under the name uncultured bacterium. RNAcentral describes it as "partial 16S ribosomal RNA". It matches the Rfam family "Bacterial small subunit ribosomal RNA". The record is from RNAcentral.
AGAGUUUGAUCAUGGCUCAGAUUGAACGCUGGCGGAAUGCUUUACACAUGCAAGUCGAGCGGCAGCGCGGGGCAACCUGGCGGCGAGCGGCGAAUGGGUGAGUAAUGCAUCGGAACAUGUCCAUUCGUGGGGGAUAGCCCGGCGAAAGCCGGAUUAAUACCGCAUACGCCCGAGAGGGGAAAACGGGGGACCGCAAGGCCUCGUGCGAAUGGGUUGGCCGAUGUCCGAUUAGCUAGUUGGCGGGGUAAAAGCCCACCAAGGCGAUGAUCGGUAGCUGGUCUGAGAGGAUGAUCAGCCACACUGGGACUGAGACACGGCCCAGACUCCUACGGGAGGCAGCAGUGGGGAAUUUUGGACAAUGGGGGCAACCCUGAUCCAGCCAUUCCGCGUGAGUGAAGAAGGCCUUCGGGUUGUAAAGCUCUUUUGUCCGGAGCGAAACGGUGCACGUGAAUAUUCGUGCGCUACUGACGGUACCGGAAGAAUAAGCACCGGCUAACUACGUGCCAGCAGACCGCGGUAAUAUACGUAGGGUGCGAGCGUUAUCCGGAUUCACUGGGUUUAAAGGGUGCGUAGGUGGAUUAGUAAGUCAGUGGUGAAAUCCCCGAGCUUAACUUGGGAACUGCCAUUGAUACUAUUAGUCUUGAAUACCGUGGAGGUCAGCGGAAUAUGUCAUGUAGCGGUGAAAUGCAUAGAUAUGACAUAGAACACCAAUUGCGAAGGCAGCUGGCUACACGAAUAUUGACACUGAGGCACGAAAGCGUGGGGAUCAAACAGGAUUAGAUACCCUGGUAGUCCACGCCCUAAACUAUGGAUACUCGACAUUUGCGAUACACAGCAAGUGUCUGAGCGAAAGCAUUAAGUAUCCCACCUGGGAAGUACGAUCGCAAGAUUGAAACUCAAAGGAAUUGGCGGGGACCCGCACAAGCGGUGGAUGAUGUGGAUUAAUUCGAUGCAACGCGAAAAACCUUACCUACGCUUGACAUGCCAGGAACCUUCCAGAGAUGGAUGGGUGCCCGAAAGGGAGCCUGGACACAGGUGCUGCAUGGCUGUCGUCAGCUCGUGUCGUGAGAUGUUGGGUUAAGUCCCGCAACGAGCGCAACCCUUUUCCCUAGUUGCUACGCAAGGGCACUCUAGGGAUACUGCCGGUGACAAACCGGAGGAAGGUGGGGAUGACGUCAAGUCCUUCAUGGCCCUUAUGUGUAGGGCUUCACACGUCAUACAAUGGUCGGUACAGAGGGUUGCCAACCCGCGAGGGGGAGCCAAUCCCAGAAAACCGAUCGUAGUCCGGAUUGCACUCUGCAACUCGAGUGCAUGAAGUCGGAAUCGCUAGUAAUCGCGGAUCAGCAUGUCGCGGUGAAUACGUUCCCGGGUCUUGUACACACCGCCCGUCACACCAUGGGAGUGGGUUUUGCCAGAAGUAGGUAGCCUAGCCGCAAGGAGGGCGCUUACCACGGCAGGGCUCAUGACUGGGGUGAAGUCGUAACAAGGUAACCGUA